UACUUCUGGGAUUACUAUGAGAGUUACGGGAUAUCUCGCAAUUUCCAGUAACUCAAAGUAUGCUGCCCUCAACUCACUAUAUGGAACAAUUAAUGAGUACAACUGUAAAAUUCAUUGACUUUUUCAUUGUAAAAGACUAUGCAGGAAAAUAUAAUUAUGUUCCGAAAAGUAGCGCAGAGUAUAAAUACGGUGGAUAUAGUGAUUUACUACCUGUUCAUUUCUGAUACUAGUACCGUUUAGAGGUUACGUUGGCUCAUUACUCCGCUCCGCUUAUUCAGUGUUUUUAUCAUAAUGAAGUACUUAACUCUGUUUAUUUUUAUUAGUGCUCUCGUAUUAGUGGAUUGUGUCUCAUUGACUGCAAUUAAAGAUUUAAUACAAAUAUCUAAUACUAUGAAAGAAAAUGCCGUCGUCGUAAAAACACAAGAACUUCUGUAUAUACCAACAAAUUUGAAGGAUUGCACCAACACAGUGUGCGGUUAUGUUUGUCAACUUUUUGGAUAUUACUACGGACAAUGUCUUCCUGCUACCACUUGCAAAUGUUAUAACUAGAAGAAUUAUCGUAGACUCCAAAAUAUAAAAAUGACGUCAAUCCGCCACUGUCCAAUCUAAAUGUCUUAUCACCAUCGACAGCUACCUAUCAUUCUUGUACUUACUAGAUAGCACUAAUAAAAGAGACUAAUUCAUUAACUAAUACUAGACUGACUAAUAAAAGAGACUAAUUCACUAAUUCAUACAAUCACCGUGGCUAAUAAUAAAAAUCGAUUAUAUAAUGGUU
Molecule: non-coding RNA, 775 nt
Organism: Spodoptera litura
Lineage: Eukaryota; Metazoa; Arthropoda; Insecta; Lepidoptera; Noctuidae
Source: RefSeq, a predicted model, not a curated record